GUUUCAUUUUAGGAAAUGUCUUCAGAUACCAUAUCCUCUUCUAACUCAACAGAGAAGUAACCUAAGUGGUAAACUUAUUUAAUUUGAGCAUUGUUGCCUUUAAGCCACGAUGUAUCCAAAUUUAACAUAAUACAUCCAUCUUCAUCAAAAGGCGAAAUAAGCUUGUCUUGAGGGCCACUUAAACUCAACAGUAUGAUUAAUAUCACUUUUGCAUAAUUAGAGGAAUAACUCCUUGUUGUAUUUUCGAGUAAAUAUCAUAUGAUUCCAUAGCUAUGUGUUCAUUUUGAAGGACACCCUUGGUUCCACUAUCUUUAACACCUCCUCAAUCAAAAGAUUAUCACCUAUAUCAUAGAUAGAGGAAAAAUGAUCCAUGGCUAGUGAGCAAAUUUGAGUAGAUUUAGUCACCCAGUGACCCUCAUUUAAUCUUAU
This 429-nucleotide long non-coding RNA is filed under the name Carica papaya (papaya). RNAcentral describes it as "long non-coding RNA (CPAP_LNC004184)". Lineage: Eukaryota; Viridiplantae; Streptophyta; Magnoliopsida; Brassicales; Caricaceae. The record is from RNAcentral.